Pecten maximus is the source of this 1892-nucleotide long non-coding RNA. RefSeq lists it as uncharacterized. The transcript is spliced from 2 exons. The record is from RefSeq and is a predicted model, not a curated record. NCBI's taxonomy places the organism in Eukaryota, Metazoa, Mollusca, Bivalvia, Pectinida, Pectinidae.
AUAAGAUACCAGCAUAUGUAUUAACAGCAUUUAUUUAUUGCUAUGUAGAAUAUAUAAUAACAUUAUAAAAUACAUAUUUAUAACACGGCUCCUUUUCCAAAGCAUUACUGAUAGAAUCACCUAGGCAACUGAAUAAUUAAAAACAAAACUUAUCUGAAUCGUAUUAGGUUACCAAAAUAUAAAUUUGUGUUUACUCAUGAUUAUUUGAAAAAUCACAAAGAACUUUGUCAAUCCCAUUUCCUCAAAAUUUCAAGGUAGGAGUUGUAUUAUUUCAAUGUUCAGUUAAACAAUGAACUUGUUCAAACAAAGACCAUUAAAACAAAAGAUAUGUGUGUUGUUUAUAUGGUAUUAUAGUUAAGACUUUGGUAGUCAGAGCUCAAGAUUCCUUCCAUCUAAAUAAAAUCUGUAAUGAAUCAGAUCAACAGGAAAUUAUUUUUAUCAGAUUGCAUAUAUUGCUUGUGGAAUCUCAUGAAGACAAUUAUGACAUUGUACCUAAAGCUUGACCAAGUGCCAUACAUCUACUUUGGUGAUUCCUUCAGGGAAUCUCUCAAUAUUGAUGUUAACAUUGGUGGUUCCCACUUAGAAUCUACUAUAAUGUUAACCUGUUGACUACUGCUUACAGAAUCAUAGCUACAUAUCACGAUUUUAAAGCUUACUAGAUUGUAAAGAGAUUGGUCAAAAACAUGAGAGAUGGAAUCUACAGACAAGGUUUUAAAUACUAUCACAAAAGGGCAAUAACUCUUUCAAAAAAUAGAGAAAUGUAAACAAGAAACCUACUUGUUCUAAGCAAAAAAUAGAGAAAUGUAAACAAGAAGCCUACUUGUUCUAAGCGAAAAAUAGAGAGAUGUAAACAAGAAGCCUACAUGUUCUAAGCAAAAAAUAGAGAAAUGUAAACAAGAAGCCUACAUGUUCUAAGCAAAAAAUAGAGAAAUGUAAACAAGAAGCCUACUUGUUCUAAGCAAAAAAUAGAGAGAUGUAAACAAGAAGCCUACUUGUUCUAAGCCUUUGUUUAAGUUAAUGACAGAGGAUAUAUCCUCCGUUGUACAGCUUCAUUAUAACAUUUCUAGCACUGUUGAUAUGGAAUGAUUUGAUGAUUAAAUGUAAGUAAUAAAUACAACAUCCGUCUGAAAACGACAGUCAAACUUCUAACAAACACUGUAUAACAUCUAUACAUUCAUAUAUAUCCAUAUGUGUGUAUAACUUAUAUAAAUAGUUGGAAAUAUCUUAAUAAGCACUGAUUUGUAUGGAAUGAAUAUCAUAUUUUUUGUUUUCUAAUUCUGUUAUAAACAUACUACUUCCAGGGGAUUUUACAUAAAUAUAUCACCCUUUUCACAUUCAUUACAAAACAUAAAAUCAAUAUUUGUAAUAUUCUUUAAAGAUAUGUGGAUAAUUGUAAAAAAAACAAACUUAAUAUACUUUAAAGCUACAGAGAUGUAUUGUCAUUAAAGACAUUUUGAUGCUUUUCAAAGAUGAUGGAAUGUGUGGGUUUUUAUUUUUCAUUUUCCAAUGAAAUUUUCAUAUUUCGAGAUAACCCAAUAAAAUAUAUACAAAUUAGGUUAUAUGUAUUUCUUAAUUAAAUUUUAGGCUUUUAACCAUUAUAAAGUCCACACAUUUAAUUAUCAGGGGUCAUUGUUUUUGAUUUUUCACUCCAGCCAGCCAUGUCAAUAAUAGAAAAUGAUAGCCUGAUGGUGAAGGGAUCUACCACAUGAUUUAUACAGCUGUCAGGAUCUACCACAUGGUAGAUUUAUACAGCUGUCAGCUUAACUUAUGAGAUCAUUACUGACAAUCCUACUGGAUACCUACACAGCUACAUGAUCCAGAUGACCGAAUCAUAUACCUACCACAAUAACACAUUACACAGGCACUGGUUGCCAUGGAGAACAGAAAAAGCA